Lolium rigidum is the source of this 1234-nucleotide long non-coding RNA. RefSeq lists it as uncharacterized. The transcript is spliced from 2 exons. NCBI's taxonomy places the organism in Eukaryota, Viridiplantae, Streptophyta, Magnoliopsida, Poales, Poaceae. The record is from RefSeq and is a predicted model, not a curated record.
AGCACUAGUGGUUUGUGGACUGUGGGAAGUCAAGGAGCAGAAUGUUAUCAAGGAAGAACGACCAUACAAUCAUGCCAACUAUAUGGUCUAAUUGCGGUGGUACAGAUGGUCGAGACACAUCUGUCUCUGUAGCCCGAGGAUAAGUAAUGGUCACAAGGAUGUGGGCUUCUUUGCGUGCUUCUCAGCUCUGAUAUGCCCCCAGGGCUCAUUUGAUACACUCAGUGACCGACAAACUCACUAUCCUGGCAAAGGAGGCAACUUCUCAAAAGGGCUGCUCCAGAGGCAAAUGUAUUGCUUUCAUUGAGCGAGUCACUAGAUCAUGCGUCUAGCAUGCAUCUAGCUUGUUGGGGAACUUGGCGGAUCGUUACUUUACGACAUUGCUGCUUCAGUUCCAUGUUCAUCGACAACAGCAAUAGUUGCAGCUAAGCCUGAGGUGGAGCACCAGAGGGAUAAGUAGAAUGGGAUAAGUUAUUCCAUUGUUCCUGAUCAGGAGACGGGAAGGCGGACAUGAAGCCAGGUUGGCCACACUCAAGUAGACAUCACAAUCUGUUUGUGGUAACCACCAGGCAAGAGGAAGAGAGUCAGACUGGGUCCAAGAUGAAAACUGGUCGGUUAGUUGUUUUGAAUUGUGGUUUUCGGUGCUCAUGUUGGAUAUUCCCAGCACAGCUCCUUCGGUUUUAUCGGCCUGCUAUCUGCCUGUGCUGUAAUUGAGGUAUUGCAUAAAUGAUUCCUGGACUAUUAUUUCUCUGCUUACUGGUCUUACUUGCAAACUACAGAUUCUGUGUGUGUUUUGGCGUAAGAAGUUGGGGUCUGAAGCAAGGACAUGAUGAUUAGCAGUUCAACAGUUCAUGACUACAACAAGUUCAAAACCGGUGGCUCCAGAAGGGACAUGUUGUAGAGAGCGGUGGAGAAAUCGUCUCAGUUGACAUAUGAACUGCUUCCCUCGUCACACCGUUAGGGGUCUGGAUUGCAGGUCCACGACGAGUCCAUGAUUCCCCCAGAAAGGCUGACGUGUGACCUAGGUCUGAUGUUCGGUACUUCACUGUAGUAUGCUUCUUGAUCCACGUAUAGUCUUAGCCAUGGCUGCAGUUUGCAUAUCAUCUGCUGAUCCUCAAGUAUCUUUGUCCCCUUUUGGCUGGCUGUUCCUGCCUCUACAUGGUAUUACAUGGUGUGUUCUCUUGUUAGGGUUUCUUUGCCCUUUUUCCUUUCCAAUUUCAUCUGACAUUAUUGAUCC